RNAcentral lists this ribosomal RNA (651 nucleotides) under Triticum aestivum (bread wheat). Its description in RNAcentral is "partial small subunit ribosomal RNA". The record is from RNAcentral. Lineage: Eukaryota; Viridiplantae; Streptophyta; Magnoliopsida; Poales; Poaceae.
AUGGAUGAUCCCAGGGAGUCAGCAAAUGUACCACAAAAAGUGUAUGACAUGGUGACUGAAAGGACUCAAGCACGCAUCCGUAGGGAUUGCGACACGGCUAAUACUCUUCGAAAUACCAUUGACGAAGCUGGAUACAAGAUAAUGAUCCGUUCAGGCAGUGAGAUCCUUGCAAGGAAAUACCGGAUCAGAAUGAGGGGAAUAGAUGCACCGGAGCUGAAGAUGACAUAUGGGAAGGAGUCAAAGGAUGCUUUGGUGAAGCUCAUUGGUGAGAAAAGCACCAGAAUUUAUGUGUAUGAGCAGGACCAAUUUGGCCGAUAUGUUGGCGACAUCUAUUGCGACAGUGUGUUCAUCCAGGAGCAGAUGCUGAAGAAUGGUCACGCAUGGCAUUUCAAGAAUUAUGAUUCACGCCAAGAGUUUUCUGAAUGGGAGAGAAAGGCAAGAGCUGCAUGCCAAGGGCUUUGGGCGUUAAAUAACCCUAAGAAGCCGUGGGACUGGAGAAGAGAUGAGCGCAAUGGAAGACACAUCACCAUUAAGCAGAAGUUGUUCGCAAAGGUUGCUUGGUUGGGAGCCUUGCUACUUGGAGGAAGAUAUUUGAAGAAAUUGGCGAUCUUCUUUUGGGAGAAGAUCGUCAUGGGGGGUCACGCGGAUUAG